RNAcentral lists this ribosomal RNA (1474 nucleotides) under Lactiplantibacillus plantarum. Its description in RNAcentral is "bacterial SSU rRNA". It matches the Rfam family "Bacterial small subunit ribosomal RNA". Lineage: Bacteria; Bacillati; Bacillota; Bacilli; Lactobacillales; Lactobacillaceae. The record is from RNAcentral.
AAGGAAUGCGGCGUGCUAUACAUGCAAGUCGAACGAACUCUGGUAUUGAUUGGUGCUUGCAUCAUGAUUUACAUUUGAGUGAGUGGCGAACUGGUGAGUAACACGUGGGAAACCUGCCCAGAAGCGGGGGAUAACACCUGGAAACAGAUGCUAAUACCGCAUAACAACUUGGACCGCAUGGUCCGAGUUUGAAAGAUGGCUUCGGCUAUCACUUUUGGAUGGUCCCGCGGCGUAUUAGCUAGAUGGUGGGGUAACGGCUCACCAUGGCAAUGAUACGUAGCCGACCUGAGAGGGUAAUCGGCCACAUUGGGACUGAGACACGGCCCAAACUCCUACGGGAGGCAGCAGUAGGGAAUCUUCCACAAUGGACGAAAGUCUGAUGGAGCAACGCCGCGUGAGUGAAGAAGGGUUUCGGCUCGUAAAACUCUGUUGUUAAAGAAGAACAUAUCUGAGAGUAACUGUUCAGGUAUUGACGGUAUUUAACCAGAAAGCCACGGCUAACUACGUGCCAGCAGCCGCGGUAAUACGUAGGUGGCAAGCGUUGUCCGGAUUUAUUGGGCGUAAAGCGAGCGCAGGCGGUUUUUUAAGUCUGAUGUGAAAGCCUUCGGCUCAACCGAAGAAGUGCAUCGGAAACUGGGAAACUUGAGUGCAGAAGAGGACAGUGGAACUCCAUGUGUAGCGGUGAAAUGCGUAGAUAUAUGGAAGAACACCAGUGGCGAAGGCGGCUGUCUGGUCUGUAACUGACGCUGAGGCUCGAAAGUAUGGGUAGCAAACAGGAUUAGAUACCCUGGUAGUCCAUACCGUAAACGAUGAAUGCUAAGUGUUGGAGGGUUUCCGCCCUUCAGUGCUGCAGCUAACGCAUUAAGCAUUCCGCCUGGGGAGUACGGCCGCAAGGCUGAAACUCAAAGGAAUUGACGGGGGCCCGCACAAGCGGUGGAGCAUGUGGUUUAAUUCGAAGCUACGCGAAGAACCUUACCAGGUCUUGACAUACUAUGCAAAUCUAAGAGAUUAGACGUUCCCUUCGGGGACAUGGAUACAGGUGGUGCAUGGUUGUCGUCAGCUCGUGUCGUGAGAUGUUGGGUUAAGUCCCGCAACGAGCGCAACCCUUAUUAUCAGUUGCCAGCAUUAAGUUGGGCACUCUGGUGAGACUGCCGGUGACAAACCGGAGGAAGGUGGGGAUGACGUCAAAUCAUCAUGCCCCUUAUGACCUGGGCUACACACGUGCUACAAUGGAUGGUACAACGAGUUGCGAACUCGCGAGAGUAAGCUAAUCUCUUAAAGCCAUUCUCAGUUCGGAUUGUAGGCUGCAACUCGCCUACAUGAAGUCGGAAUCGCUAGUAAUCGCGGAUCAGCAUGCCGCGGUGAAUACGUUCCCGGGCCUUGUACACACCGCCCGUCACACCAUGAGAGUUUGUAACACCCAAAGUCGGUGGGGUAACCUUUUAGGAACCAGCCGCCUAAAGGUGACAAAGGG